GGAUAAUAGGCAAUAAGGAAGAGUCCUGUAUCCUCAGGAAGUGCCCUCCCCCAACAGAGACCCUGGCAGGGCCAAGGGCUACUCCUCCUUCCCCCAUGCUGGCUCCACUUACUAAGCCCACCGUAUUUUAUAGUGAUAACCCCUGGUCAGCAGCCUGUCUCCCAACGUAGUGCUCCCGCCACCCCCUCACCACCUGUCUCCGGCCAAAAGCAUCCUUCAGCCCUGCCCCUGCUCCCACCCAGGCCCCCCGCUUUCAAAGCCAGAGUGGCUUCAGCUCACCAUUUGACUUGUGUCCCUCCCAUGGUCCCCCUCCUGUCUUGGGUUUCAGCAAGCCUGUGUCCCCGGGUGAAGUGGGAGGCUGAGAGUCACAUCACUCCCAAAUUCAGGCAUGUCUCCCCGCGCUGGGGCUGGAAAACGCCUCCACGGGAAGGCCAGCUAGCGGAGCUACUCGCCCGGCUCGCGGGAGAAAGUGGGAACGGCAGCGGCGGCGUCUCGGCCCCAGCGACGAGGAUGCUCCCGGCUCUGAAGCGCGCCGUCCCGGGCGCUCAGACUCUGCUGCGGCCCGGCCCCGGCGGAAGCUGCCACCCCUCGCAGGCUGCCGGCCCCUGGCCUCUGCAUCUUGGCCUCCGCGGACGCACGGUGCCCGGCAUCCCCCCAGGCGGAGGCAUCUCACCCCAUUUGCCACUGGGAGGGAGGCUCCCGGCGGCGCAGGCUGCGCCUCAAGUCCCCAGCGGCGAUCCCGCUCCGCGACACCUUCCGGAUCCCUCCCCGCCCCUCCCUCUGCUGCCUCCCGGGGCUGUCACCAGCCGCGAGGCGGCCGGGCUCCGAUCCAAGCCAGCUCCGCUGGGCUGGCCAACCGACCGCUCUGGGCGGAGCACUGUGGUGGAGGAAGUGAAAGAAGUUCAGCAUACCCAGAGCCCAGAAUGCAGGAGGAGAGAGGGAAAGGUAAACGAUAAUGAUGUCCUAAAUGGCAGUGUUCCCUCAAAAUAGCUGACUUUAAUGGGCCAGAUCCCCAAGCCCACUCCACAUGGGAACCAGAUCAGAGGUUACAACCAAGGAUUUUCCUGAGGCUGGUACUCGCUGGUUAACAUUGAGUAUACUCCUGCACCAACGAUGUGAUGAGGCACUGACCUUUAGCUGAAGUCUGGUGCAUACGAAUCUUUUUGGAGGCCACAAACUGCAGCACUUUCUCCACAUUAUUCUUCAUCUCCUGUUGGUUACUGGGACUGAGCUGUACCCCACUCAGCUUUUCUCCUGCUGUUCGGAGCGAGAAAAUAUAGGCAGUUACAGGGAGGAAUAUUAUCAAAGUUUCAUAGCAGCUAGACAAAGAGGAAGGGAAGAUUAGAUGUGAACACCAACAUUAUACAUAAAUAUAUAAAUGAGUUAAAUCCUGGUAUUUGUCAUUUAGAUGGGAAAUAGGAAAAUGAAAGCCUUUUAGAAGGCUUUCAAAUUUAUACUUAGGGGUCUGUGAAGUUGCUGUGCAUACAUUUAUUCAGUCAACAAAUACUCACUGAGCAUCUACUGAGUGGCAAGUAGUCACUGUUCUGGGCACCAGAGAAACAGGAGAGAACAAGAACAAUAAAGUCCCUUUCCCUCAUAGAAUUUAUACCUGCAGGAGUGGCAGACAACAGCCAAGUUAACAAGUAAGCGUUUAAUAUAAUUUCAUAGUAGCAGUAAGUGCUUGCGGAAAAAUAAAGUGCAGUGACCAUGGUCUCUCUGAUAAUACAUUUGGCAGCAGCUUGAAUAAAGUAAAGCAUGUUAAGAUUUGAGGAGGAAGCAUUCUAGACUGAGGAACCACAGGGACCAAACCCCAAGCUCAGCUUACCUGAAGAAUAGCAAGAGCAAUGUGGCUGGGGGAGUGAGCUAGGAGUCAAGUCCUAGGAGAGGCUAGAGGGG
Molecule: RNA transcript, 1896 nt
Organism: Sapajus apella (tufted capuchin)
Lineage: Eukaryota; Metazoa; Chordata; Mammalia; Primates; Cebidae
Gene: CRYAB
Gene name: crystallin alpha B
Exons: 4
Source: RefSeq, a predicted model, not a curated record